Molecule: ribosomal RNA, 442 nt
Filed under: Macoma balthica
Lineage: Eukaryota; Metazoa; Mollusca; Bivalvia; Cardiida; Tellinidae
Description: SSU rRNA
Rfam family: Eukaryotic small subunit ribosomal RNA
Source: RNAcentral
GUGCCAGCAGCCGCGGUAAUUCCAGCUCCAAUAGCGUAUAUUAAAGUUGCUGCGUUUAAAAAGCUCGUAGUUGGAUCUCGGUUCCAGGCUUGCGGUCCGCCUCGAGGUGGAUACUGCUCGUCCUGUGUUCGACGUCGUGGUGGUUCCUUGGUGCUCUUGACUGAGUGUCUCGGACGGUCCCGAACGUUUACUUUGAAAAAAUUAGAGUGCUCAAAGCAGGCGUAUCGCCUGAAUAAUUCCGCAUGGAAUAAUGGAAUAGGACCUCGGUUCCAGUUUCGUUGGUUUGCGAAUCCUUGAGGUAAUGAUUAAUAGGGACUGCCGGGGGCAUACGUAUUGCGGCGGGAGAGGUGAAAUUCGUGGAUCGCCGCAAGACGAACGACAGCGAAAGCAUUUGCCAAGAAUGUUCUCAUUAAUCAAGAACGAAAGUCAGAGGUUCGAAGAC